GGCUCGAAAGAGAGCCGUAACACAGGUGCUGCAUGGCUGUCGUCAGCUCGUGUCGUGAGAUGUUGGGUUAAGUCCCGCAACGAGCGCAACCCUUGUCAUUAGUUGCUACAUUCAGUUGGGCACUCUAAUGAGACUGCCGGUGACAAGCCGGAGGAAGGUGGGGAUGACGUCAAGUCCUCAUGGCCCUUAUAGGUGGGGCUACACACGUCAUACAAUGGCUGGUACAAAGGGUUGCCAACCCGCGAGGGGGAGCCAAUCCCAUAAAGCCAGUCGUAGUCCGGAUCGUAGUCUGCAACUCGACUACGUGAAGUCGGAAUCGCUAGUAAUCGUGGAUCAGAAUGUCACGGUGAAUACGUUCCCGGGUCUU
RNAcentral lists this ribosomal RNA (367 nucleotides) under uncultured Rhodoferax sp. Its description in RNAcentral is "bacterial SSU rRNA". It matches the Rfam family "Bacterial small subunit ribosomal RNA", at positions 1013 to 1382 of the family's 1533-position model. The record is from RNAcentral. Lineage: Bacteria; Pseudomonadati; Pseudomonadota; Betaproteobacteria; Burkholderiales; Comamonadaceae.